UCAUAGCGACUAUCGUGGCAUAUCAAUAAGCGGAGGAAAAGAAACUAACAAGGAUUCCCCUAGUAACGGCGAGUGAAGCGGGAAGAGCUCAAAUUUGAAAUCUUCAAGGUUUGACCUUGACGAAUUGUAGUUUAAAGAAGUGUUUUCGGUUAGAGGAGUAGUAAAAGUUCUUUGGAAUAGGACAUCAUAGAGGGUGAGAAUCCCGUAUUUGACCAUUAUUUCCAGCUGUAUGAUACACUUUCAAAGAGUCGGAUUGUUUGGGAAUGCAGUCCAAAAUGGGUGGUAAAUUUCAUCUAAAGCUAAAUAUCGGCGAGAGACCGAUAGCGAACAAGUACCGUGAGGGAAAGAUGAAAAGAACUUUGAAAAGAGAGUUAAACAGUACGUGAAAUUGUCAAAAGGGAAGCGUUUGACACCAGUGUUGUUUUUCCGAAAAUCAAUUAAAAAUUGAUUCAUGCCAGGUUGUAUUGACCUUAUCAGCUUGCAAUUUGGUUUUGGGUCUCUUUUUGAUGCACUUUUCGGUUAACAAGUCAACAUCAAUUUCCUUUGCUGUAAAAAGGUAAGAGGAAGGUGGCUUCAAUUUCGGUUGAAGUGUUUAUAGCCUUUUAUCUCUGCAGUCGGGGAGAUUGAGGUCCUGCAGCGUAGAUCCUUCGGGGCUAGAUACAUUUAUGCUAAGUUAUAGCUUUUCAUAGACAACUUGUUGACUAUGUUUAGUCAUGUAGCUUACUCGUAAGUGCUAUUUUACCUACGCUUAGGAUGUUGAUAGUCACAGCGUGUAC
RNAcentral lists this ribosomal RNA (776 nucleotides) under uncultured Neocallimastigales. Its description in RNAcentral is "partial large subunit ribosomal RNA". It matches the Rfam family "Eukaryotic large subunit ribosomal RNA", at positions 22 to 644 of the family's 3401-position model. The record is from RNAcentral. Lineage: Eukaryota; Fungi; Neocallimastigomycota; Neocallimastigomycetes; Neocallimastigales.